Molecule: non-coding RNA, 693 nt
Organism: Sus scrofa (pig)
Lineage: Eukaryota; Metazoa; Chordata; Mammalia; Artiodactyla; Suidae
Source: the annotation of a RefSeq genome assembly
AACAGACAAAAACGUGGAUGACAAUAUGUUCUAAGAGGUCGCUAUAAUCAUAAUAAAUAGUAUUCAUCAUGAAACUUUUUAAGUCCAAUAUGGCAAAUGGUUGCAGCCCUGAUACAACUGUUCAUUUAAUUACAAGUCUCAAAAGGCAGGUUAGAAUCACCAACCAAGUCACCGAGCCAUGACAUGACACAGGCAACCUGUUGUCACCAAGUUCCAUUUCCUGUUCUGGUGCAGAAGCAUUUCACUGUGCAGUAAUUGGAUAUGUGUUCCGUCAGACACAGGGCAGACACUUAGACCUGAAUUUGAGACAGAGCACAGCACAUUUCACUCAGAGGAAGAGCUGUCAACAUGCAGCUCCCUGACCUGCUGCUGAGAGUUUUCAUAGCCUCUGCCUGCCUCGGAUCCAUCAAGGCCCAGAACGUGACUCAAGAUCAGCCAGAAAUGUCUGUGCUGGAGAAGGAGGCUGUAACUUUGGACUGUGCAUACGAGAGUAGUAGUUAUAGUUAUUAUUUAUUCUGGUACAAACCACCACCAAGUGGGGAAAUGAUUUUCCUACUUCAUCAGGAGUCUUACAAUGAGCUAAAUAAAACAGAAGGUCGAUAUUUUUUGAACUUCCGGAAGAAAGCCAGUUCCAUCAGCCUCACCAUCACAGCCUCACAACUCGAGGACUCAGCAGUAUAUUUCUGGCUCUGA